RNAcentral lists this ribosomal RNA (851 nucleotides) under Clavispora lusitaniae. RNAcentral describes it as "LSU rRNA". It matches the Rfam family "Eukaryotic large subunit ribosomal RNA", at positions 37 to 965 of the family's 3401-position model. Lineage: Eukaryota; Fungi; Ascomycota; Pichiomycetes; Serinales; Metschnikowiaceae. The record is from RNAcentral.
AGCAUAUCAAUAAGCGGAGGAAAAGAAACCAACAGGGAUUGCCCCAGUAACGGCGAGUGAAGCGGCAAAAGCUCAAAUUUGAAAUCCUGCGGGAAUUGUAAUUUGAAGGUUUCGUGGUCUGAGUCGGCCGCGCCCAAGUCCAUUGGAACAUGGCGCCUGGGAGGGUGAGAGCCCCGUAUGGCGCACGCCGACUCUUUGCACCGCGGCUCCGACGAGUCGAGUUGUUUGGGAAUGCAGCUCUAAGUGGGUGGUAAAUUCCAUCUAAAGCUAAAUAUUGGCGAGAGACCGAUAGCGAACAAGUACAGUGAUGGAAAGAUGAAAAGCACUUUGAAAAGAGAGUGAAACAGCACGUGAAAUUGUUGAAAGGGAAGGGCUUGCAAGCAGACACGGUUUUACCGGGCCAGCGUCGAAAAGGGGGGAGGAACAAGAACUCGAGAAUGUGGCGCGCACCUUCGGGCGCGCGUGUUAUAGCUCGUGUUGACGCCUCCAUCCCUUUUCGAGGCCUGCGAUUCUAGGACGCUGGCGUAAUGGUUGCAAGCCGCCCGUCUUGAAACACGGACCAAGGAGUCUAACGUCUAUGCGAGUGUUUGGGUGCAAAACCCCAGCGCGGAAUGAAAGUAAGAGGUUGGAGCCGCAAGGCGCACAAUCGACCGACCCUGAAGUGCUCGGACGGGUUUGAGUAGGAGCAUAGCUGUUGGGACCCGAAAGAUGGUGAACUAUGCCUGGAUAGGGUGAAGCCAGAGGAAACUCUGGUGGAGGCUCGCAGCGGUUCUGACGUGCAAAUCGAUCGUCGAAUCUGGGUAUAGGGGCGAAAGACUAAUCGAACCAUCUAGUAGCUGGUUCCUGCCGAA